RNAcentral lists this ribosomal RNA (443 nucleotides) under uncultured bacterium. RNAcentral describes it as "partial 16S ribosomal RNA". It matches the Rfam family "Bacterial small subunit ribosomal RNA", at positions 338 to 795 of the family's 1533-position model. The record is from RNAcentral.
CCUACGGGAGGCAGCAGUGGGGAAUAUUGGGCAAUGGGCGCAAGCCUGACCCAGCAACGCCGCGUGAAGGAAGAAGGCUUUCGGGUUGUAAACUUCUUUUCUGAGGGACGAAGAAAGUGACGGUACCUCCGGAAUAAGCCACGGCUAACUACGUGCCAGCAGCCGCGGCAAUACGGAGGUGGCAAGCGUUAUCCGGAUUUAUUUGGUGUAAAGGGCGUGUAGGCGGGAAAGCAAGGCAGAUGGGAAAAUUCAGGGAUCAAGCCUUUGCCUGCAGUUGAAACUGGUUUUCUUGAGGGCUGGAGAGGUAAUCGGAAUGCCGGGUGUAGCGGUGAAAUGCGUAGAUAUACGGAGGAACACCAGUGGCGAAGGCAGAAUGCCGGACAGUAACUGACGCUGAGGCGCGAAAGUGUGGGGAGCAAACAGGAUUAGAUACCCUAGUAGUC